GGGGAGUCGCGCAAGCGAUGAAGGGACCGGGCCCAGGCUGCCAAGAAAAGCCUCGCUGGAAGUGGAACAUCGGACCGUACCGCAAACCGACACUGGUAGACGGGAGGAAGACUCCAAGGCGCAUGAGAGAACUCUCGCUAAGGAACUAGGCAAACUCGCCCCGUAACUUCGGGAGAAGGGGUGCCGACGGUGUGCAAGCAUCUGUCGGUCUCAGUAAAGAGGGUCAAGCGACUGUUUACCAAAAACACAGGACUCUGCAAAGUCGAAAGACGAAGUAUAGGGUCUGACGCCUGCCCGGUGCUGGAAGGUUAACGGGAGGGGUUCGCGUGCAAACGCAAAGCUCUGAACCGAAGCCCCAGUAAACGGCGGCCGUAACUAUAACGGUCCUAAGGUAGCGAAAUUCCUUGUCGGGUAAGUUCCGACCCGCACGAAUGGCGUAACGACUUGACCGCUGUCUCAGCGAGAGACUCAGCGAAAUUGACGUGCUGGUGAAGAUACCAGCUGCCCGCAACUAGACGGAAAGACCCUGUGCACCUUUACUAUAGCUUGGCAGUGGUUGCUAGGAUCAUUUGUGUAGGAUAGGUGGGAGGCGUUGAAGCGGGUGCGCUAGCAUCCGUGGAGCCAACGGUGAAAUACCACCCUAAUGAUUCUGGCAUCCUCACCGAAUCCCGUAAUCCGGGAUCGGGACCCUGUCUGGUGGGUAGUUUGACUGGGGCGGUCGCCUCCUAAAAAGUAACGGAGGCGCCCAAAGGUUCCCUCAGGCUGGCCGGAAACCAGCCGAUGAGUGCAAAGGCAUAAGGGAGCUUCACUGAGAGACUGACGGGUCGAUCAGAUGGGAAACCAGGGCUUAGU
RNAcentral lists this ribosomal RNA (852 nucleotides) under mine drainage metagenome. Its description in RNAcentral is "bacterial LSU rRNA". It matches the Rfam family "Bacterial large subunit ribosomal RNA", at positions 1568 to 2416 of the family's 2925-position model. The record is from RNAcentral.